RNAcentral lists this ribosomal RNA (300 nucleotides) under uncultured bacterium. RNAcentral's name for it is "bacterial SSU rRNA". It matches the Rfam family "Bacterial small subunit ribosomal RNA", at positions 1082 to 1382 of the family's 1533-position model. The record is from RNAcentral.
AAGUCCCGUAACGAGCGCAACCCUUGUCCUCAGUUACCAGCGGUUCGGCCGGGAACUCUGGGGAGACUGCCGGUGACAAACCGGAGGAAGGUGGGGAUGACGUCAAGUCAUCAUGGCCCUUAUGGGUAGGGCUACACACGUGCUACAAUGGAGUGUACAGAGGGUUGCAACGUCGCGAGGCCGAGCCAAUCCCUUAAAACACUUCGUAGUCCGGAUCGCAGUCUGCAAUUCGACUGCGUGAAGUCGGAAUCGCUAGUAAUCGCGAAUCAGAAUGUCGCGGUGAAUACGUUCCCGGGCCUU